This 1315-nucleotide ribosomal RNA is filed under the name uncultured bacterium. RNAcentral's name for it is "bacterial SSU rRNA". It matches the Rfam family "Archaeal small subunit ribosomal RNA", at positions 23 to 1336 of the family's 1478-position model. The record is from RNAcentral.
CCUACUGCUAUCAUAGUGGGAUAAGCCUUGUUAGUCAUCGCAAGAUUGCGUGUGGAACUGGUGACUGGCAGGCCGUCAACAUGUUUAGGGGACGUGGAUAACCUGGGAAACUGACGAUAAACCGCGAUCCUCCAAAUUUUCUGGAAUGGACUUUGUCUGAAACCUACAUGUUCCCUGGAUUGGACUGCGGCCGAUCAGGCUGUUGGUGAGGUAAUGGCCCACCGACCUGUCACCGGAUUCGGGUCUUAUAGGAUGAGCCUUGAGAUGGGCACUGAUACUAGGGCCCGAGCCCUAUGGGGCUCAGCAUGCGCGAAACCUCUGUGAAAUUCUAAAGAUUUGACAGGGUUACUCUGAUUGAUGUCCGUUAAGCGGCAUCUUUUGGCACCUCUCAAAAUGGUGCAGUAAUAAGGGGUGGGCAAGAUCUGGUGUCAGCCCUACGUCUCAACUACCAACACCCCCAGUGGUCGGGACGGAUUAAUGUUGCCUAAUAGGACUCCGCCCGCACCUUAUGAGUCUAUCCGUUAAAUUUGGCCUGCUCAACAGAUGGGCUGCGGAGGAUACUACAGGGCUAGGAGGCGGGAGAGGCAAGCGGUACUCAGUGGGUAGGGGUAAAAUCCUCUGAUCCACUGAAGACCACCAGUGGCGAAGGCGGCUUGCCAGAACGCGCUCGACGGUGAGGGAUGAAAGCUGGGGGAGCAAACCGGAUUAGAUACCCGGGUAGUCCCAGCUGUAAACGAUGCAGACUCGGUGAUGGGUUGGCUUUGUGCCAACCCAGUGCCGCAGGGAAGCCGUUAAGUCUGCCGCCUGGGGAGUACGGUCGCAAGACUGAAACUUAAAGGAAUUGGCGGGGGAGCACCACAAGGGGUGAAGCCUGCGGUUCAAUUGGAGUCAACGCCGGAAAUCUUACCGGGGGCGACAGCAGAGUGAAGGUCAAGCUGAAGACUUUACCAGACAAGCUGAGAGGAGGCGCAUGGCCGUCGCCAGCUCGUGCCGUGAGGUGUCCUGUUAAGUCAGGUAACGAGCAAGAUCCCUGCCUCUAGUUGCUACUGCUGGUCUCCGGACUAGCAGGGCUAAUUAGAGGGACCGCCGCCGCUGAGGCGGAGGAAGGAGGGGGCUACGGCAGGUCAGUAUGCCCCGAAACCCUCGGGCCACACGCGGGCUGCAAUGGUAAGGACAACGGGCUCCGAUUCCGAAAGGAGGAGGCAAUCCCACAAACCUUACCUCAGUUAUGAUUGAGGGCUGAAACUCGCCCUCAUGAAUCUGGAAUCCCUAGUAACCGCGUGUCACUAUCGCGCGGUGAAUACGUCCCUGCUCC